AGCUUUGCGCAGUGGCGGUACCAUAGCCAAUGAGAUUUAUCCGAGGCGUGGUUAUUGCUAGUUGAAAACUAUACCCAAUACCCCGUGCUGACGUCGUGAAAUACCGACGGUAGCACAAUUUUUGAACGCCUCUACGGGGG
This is a non-coding RNA of Lingula anatina, 140 nucleotides long. NCBI's taxonomy places the organism in Eukaryota, Metazoa, Brachiopoda, Lingulata, Lingulida, Lingulidae. The record is from Rfam.